This 350-nucleotide unclassified non-coding RNA is filed under the name uncultured fungus. Its description in RNAcentral is "partial contains 5.8S ribosomal RNA, internal transcribed spacer 2, and large subunit ribosomal RNA". The stretch from base 1 to 52 matches the Rfam family "5.8S ribosomal RNA", at positions 103 to 154 of the family's 154-position model. Lineage: Eukaryota; Fungi. The record is from RNAcentral.
AACGCACCUUGCGCUCCUUGGUAUUCCGAGGAGCAUGCCUGUUUGAGUGUCAUGGUAUUCUCAACCCUUUGGGGGGCCCCUUUUUCAAAGGGGGGUUUUCCGGGGGUUGGAUGGUGGAGGCCUUGCGGGUGUUCCGGGUGGAAAAGGGGGCGCGCGCUUACCUUGCUGUUUCGCGCCCCUCCCCCGAGCCGGCUCCUCUGAAACGCAUCAGCUUGGGACCUCACCGAGCGCGAUCCGGCGUGAUAGUUUCGUCUGCGCCCGCGUCCGUGCCCCUUCGGUGUUCCGGCUUCCAAAAGCCCACUUCUUGAGCAUCUGACCUCAGAUCAGGUAGGACUACCCGCUGAACUUAA